GGUCGCUUUGGGAGGAGCUCGCUUACUAUCAGCUUGUUGGUAGGGUAAUGGCCUACCCAGGCUAUGACGGUUAGGGGGUGUGAGAGCAUGACCCCCAGCAUUGGCACUGAAACACUGGCCAAACACCUACGGGUGGCUGCAGUCGAGAAUCUUCCACAAUGGGGGAAACCCUGAUGGAGCGAUGCUGCGUGCGGGAUGAAGGCCUUCGGGUUGUAAACCGCUUUUGUANGGGACGAAAUUUUUGACGGUACCCUUUCGAAUAAGAGGUUGCUAACUCUGUGCCAGCAGCAGCGGUAAUACAGAGACCUCAAGCGUUAUCCGGAUUUACUGGGCGUAAAGCGUCUGUAGGGGGUAUAUUAAGUUCCAAGUAAAAUUUCAGGGCUCAACUUUGAAUUCGCUUGGAAAACUAAUAAACUGGAGUCUAGCAGAGGUGCAUGGAACUUGUGGUGUAGGAGUGAAAUCCGUUGAUAUCACAAGGAACACCAAAGGCGAAGGCAUUGCACUGGGCUAGCACUGACCCUGAGAGACGAAAGCGUGGGGAGCAAAACGGAUUAGAUACCCGUGUAGUCCACGCCCUAAACGAUGAAUGCUAAAUGUUCGGGG
This 603-nucleotide ribosomal RNA is filed under the name uncultured organism. Its description in RNAcentral is "bacterial SSU rRNA". It matches the Rfam family "Bacterial small subunit ribosomal RNA", at positions 213 to 829 of the family's 1533-position model. The record is from RNAcentral.